RNAcentral lists this ribosomal RNA (427 nucleotides) under uncultured bacterium. RNAcentral's name for it is "bacterial SSU rRNA". It matches the Rfam family "Bacterial small subunit ribosomal RNA", at positions 355 to 774 of the family's 1533-position model. The record is from RNAcentral.
UGGGGAAUUUUGGACAAUGGGCGAAAGCCUGAUCCAGCAAUGCCGCGUGCAGGAUGAAGGCCUUCGGGUUGUAAACUGCUUUUGUACGGAACGAAAAAGCUUCUCCUAAUACGAGAGGCCCAUGACGGUACCGUAAGAAUAAGCACCGGCUAACUACGUGCCAGCAGCCGCGGUAAUACGUAGGGUGCGAGCGUUAAUCGGAAUUACUGGGCGUAAAGCGUGCGCAGGCGGUUAUGUAAGACAGAUGUGAAAUCCCCGGGCUCAACCGGGGAACUGCAUUUGUGACUGCAUGGCUAGAGUACGGUAGAGGGGGAUGGAAUUCCGCGUGUAGCAGUGAAAUGCGUAGAUGUGCGGAGGAACACCGAUGGCGAAGGCAAUCCCCUGGACCUGUACUGACGCUCAUGCACGAAAGCGUGGGGAGCAAACA